This 384-nucleotide ribosomal RNA is filed under the name marine Metazoa environmental sample. RNAcentral describes it as "SSU rRNA". It matches the Rfam family "Eukaryotic small subunit ribosomal RNA", at positions 587 to 972 of the family's 1831-position model. The record is from RNAcentral. Lineage: Eukaryota; Metazoa.
AGCUCCAAUAGCGUAUAUUAAAGUUGUUGCAGUUAAAAAGCUCGUAGUUGGAUCUCGGGUACUAGCAUGUGGUACGCAUAACUGCUGUUACUACAUGUCUGGUCCUAAUCAAUCGGUUGGCCGUUGAUGUCCUUCAUUGGGUGUUUUCGGUAGCCGGUACGUUUACUUUGAGAAAAUUAGAGUGCUUAAAGCAGGCUAUAGGCCUGAAUAAUGUUGCAUGGAAUAAUAGAAUAGGACCUCGGUUCUAUUUUGUUGGUUUUGUAGAGUAUUGAGGGAAGGAGGAAUAGGGAGAGAAGGGGGAAUUCGUAUUGAGGGGGUAGAGGUGAAAUUCUUGGAUCGCCGCAAGACGAACAACUGCGAAAGCAUUUGCCAAGAAUGUUUUCA